RNAcentral lists this ribosomal RNA (508 nucleotides) under uncultured bacterium. RNAcentral describes it as "partial 16S ribosomal RNA". It matches the Rfam family "Bacterial small subunit ribosomal RNA", at positions 30 to 523 of the family's 1533-position model. The record is from RNAcentral.
AUUGAACGCUGGCGGCAGGCCUAACACAUGCAAGUCGAGCGGCAGCGGGAAAGUGGCUUGCUACUUUUGCCGGCGAGCGGCGGACGGGUGAGUAAUGCCUGGGAAAUUGCCCAGUCGAGGGGGAUAACAGUUGGAAACGACUGCUAAUACCGCAUACGCCCUACGGGGGAAAGCAGGGGACCUUCGGGCCUUGCGCGAUUGGAUAUGCCCAGGUGGGAUUAGCUAGUUGGUGAGGUAAUGGCUCACCAAGGCGACGAUCCCUAGCUUGUCUGGAGUGAUGAUCAGCCACACUUGAACUGAUACACUGUCCAGACUCCUACGGGAGGCAGCAGUGGGGAAUAUUUCACAAUGGGGGAAACCCUGAUGCAGCCAUGCCGCGUGUGUGAUGAAGGCCUUCGGGUUGUAAAGCACUUUCAGCGAGGAGGAAAGGUUGAUGCCUAAUACGUAUCAACUGUGACGUUACUCGCAGAAGAAGCACCGGCUAACUCCGUUCCAGCAGCCGCCGCUG